AUCAUGAGUUCACAUGUCCGCAUGAUUAAAGGUAUUUUCCGGUAGACGAUGGGGAUGCGUUCCAUUAGAUAGUAGGCGGGGUAACGGCCCACCUAGUCAACGAUGGAUAGGGGUUCUGAGAGGAAGGUCCCCCACAUUGGAACUGAGACACGGUCCAAACUCCUACGGGAGGCAGCAGUGAGGAAUAUUGGUCAAUGGGCGAUGGCCUGAACCAGCCAAAUAGCGUGAAGGAUGACUGCCCUAUGGGUUGUAAACUUCUUUUAUAAAGGAAUAAAGUCGGGUAUGCAUACCCGUUUGCAUGUACUUUAUGAAUAAGGAUCGGCUAACUCCGUGCCAGCAGCCGCGGUAAUACGGAGGAUCCGAGCGUUAUCCGGAUUUAUUGGGUUUAAAGGGAGCGUAGAUGGAUGUUUAAGUCAGUUGUGAAAGUUUGCGGCUCAACCGUAAAAUUGCAGUUGAUACUGGAUGUCUUGAGUGCAGUUGAGGCAGGCGGAAUUCGUGGUGUAGCGGUGAAAUGCUUAGAUAUCACGAAGAACUCCGAUUG
RNAcentral lists this ribosomal RNA (541 nucleotides) under uncultured Bacteroidota bacterium. RNAcentral's name for it is "bacterial SSU rRNA". It matches the Rfam family "Bacterial small subunit ribosomal RNA", at positions 173 to 715 of the family's 1533-position model. Lineage: Bacteria; Pseudomonadati; Bacteroidota. The record is from RNAcentral.